RNAcentral lists this ribosomal RNA (383 nucleotides) under uncultured eukaryote. RNAcentral's name for it is "partial 18S ribosomal RNA". It matches the Rfam family "Eukaryotic small subunit ribosomal RNA", at positions 592 to 976 of the family's 1831-position model. The record is from RNAcentral.
CAAUAGCGUAUAUUAAAGUUGUUGCGGUUAAAAAGCUCGUAGUUGGAUUUCUGGUAGGAGUGACCGUGCCAGACUUGAUUGUCUGUGUAUUGUGUUGUCUCCAGCCAUCCUUGUGGAGAACUUUUCUUGCAUUAAUUUGUAGGGAUUGGGACCCGCAUCGUUUACUGUGAAAAAAUUAGAGUGUUUAAAGCAGGCAAUCGCUUGAAUACAUUAGCAUGGAAUAAUAAGAUAGGACUUUGGUACUAUUUUGUUGGUUUGCAUACCAAAUUAAUGAUCAACAGGAACAGUUUGAGGAUAUUCGUAUGAACAUGUCAGAGGUGAAAUUCUUGGAUUUUGAUCAGACGAACUACUGCGAAAGCAUUUAUCAAGGAUGUUUUCAUUAA